UAACAGGCUAGAUGAGGCUGAGCACUGCCCCCUUUCCCAUGCUGAUAAAGCAGAAUCACUGCACUCAGCAUGUGAGUAAGAUGUCCAUACUUCCAGUCAGUCUUCUCUGUGAACAUAUCUGGAUGCCCGAUGGAAUUAUUUCAUUGGCAUAUCUCGCUGAGUAGGUGUAACCACAGCCGCCACUUCAAGUUCGUGUUAACUGAGCAGCUUUUCCCAACAAAACUAACCUCCCAGGGAGAAAAAAAAUGCAUAAACAUAACACACUUGUAAUUUGUUAAAUCUAAAUUAUUCUGAUAAGCAUAUUGCUCUU
Molecule: long non-coding RNA, 310 nt
Filed under: Bos taurus (domestic cattle)
Lineage: Eukaryota; Metazoa; Chordata; Mammalia; Artiodactyla; Bovidae
Description: long non-coding RNA NONBTAT015536
Source: RNAcentral